GGGGCGGGGGCACGGGGGGCCUACGGGAGGCAGCAGUGGGGAAUMUUGMSCAAUGGGCGCAAGCCUGAUSCAGCCAUGCCGCGUGARUGAUGAAGGUCUUAGGMUUGUAAARUCUUCACCGGGAAGAUAAUGACGUACCGAGAGAGAACCAUCCC
RNAcentral lists this ribosomal RNA (155 nucleotides) under uncultured bacterium. RNAcentral's name for it is "partial 16S ribosomal RNA". It matches the Rfam family "Bacterial small subunit ribosomal RNA", at positions 315 to 481 of the family's 1533-position model. The record is from RNAcentral.